UUUUAAAUAGCCGCGAUUAAGUGCUAAGGUAGCAUAAUCAUUCGUCUUCUAAUUAAAGACUAGAACAAAAGAUUAAACAUUUAAAUUAUUUUAUUUAAGAUAUCAAUUAAAAUUUUCUAAAAUGUAAAAAGACAUUUAAAUUAUAGAAAGACGACAAGACCCUAUUGAACUUAACUAUAGUUAAACUGGGGCAGUUUAAUAAGUAUUAUUUUAUUAAUUAUUGAUAACCAAAUAUCUAUUAUUAUUAAUUAAAAGUUACCAUAGGGAUAACAGCAUAAUAAAUAUUUUAAGAUCUUAUAUAAAUAUAAUAUUGUGACCUCGAUGUUGAAUUAAUUACCUAUAUUAUGCAAUAAUUAUAAAAGGAAGUCUGUUCGACUUUUAAAAAAUUACGUGAUCUGAGUCA
This 403-nucleotide ribosomal RNA is filed under the name Clubiona sp. KRB-2004a. RNAcentral describes it as "partial 16S ribosomal RNA". Lineage: Eukaryota; Metazoa; Arthropoda; Arachnida; Araneae; Clubionidae. The record is from RNAcentral.